RNAcentral lists this ribosomal RNA (393 nucleotides) under uncultured bacterium. Its description in RNAcentral is "partial 16S ribosomal RNA". It matches the Rfam family "Bacterial small subunit ribosomal RNA", at positions 523 to 918 of the family's 1533-position model. The record is from RNAcentral.
AUACGGAGGACGCGAGCGUUAUCCGGAUUCAUUGGGUUUAAAGGGUGCGCAGGCGGCCGUGCAAGUCAGCGGUGAAAGCCCGGGGCUCAACCCCGGAAGUGCCGUUGAUACUGCAUGGCUGGAAUGCGGUCGAGGCGGGCGGAACGUGGCGUGUAGCGGUGAAAUGCGUAGAUAUGCCACAGAAAGCCGAUAGCGGAGGCAGCUGGCCAGGCCUGCAUUGACGCUCGGGCACGAAAGGGUGGGGAUCGAACAGGAUUAGAUACCCUGGUAGUCCACGCCGUAAACGAUGGGCGCUCGUCGUCGGCGGCAGACAGUCGGCGGCCAAGCGAAAGCGAUAAGCGCCCCACCUGGGGAGUACGGUCGCAAGGCUGAAACUCAAAUGAAUUGACGGGG